GUAGGUGGCAAGCGUUGUCCGGAAUUAUUGGGCGUAAAGCGCGCGCAGGCGGUUCUUUAAGUCCGAUGUGAAAGCCCACGGGCUCAACCGUGGAGGGUCAUUGGAAACUGGAGAACUUGAGUACAGAAGAGGAAAGCGGAAUUCCACGUGUAGCGGUGAAAUGCGUAGAGAUGUGGAGGAACACCAGUAGCGAAGGCGGCUUUCUGGUCUGUAACUGACGCUGAGGCGCGAAAGCGUGGGGAGCAAACAGGAUUAGAUACCCUGGUAGUCCACGCCGUAAACGAUGAGUGCUAAGUGUUAGGGGGUUUCCGCCCCUUAGUGCUGCAGCUAACGCAUUAAGCACUCCGCCUGGGGAGUACGGCCGCAAAGGCUG
Molecule: ribosomal RNA, 373 nt
Filed under: uncultured organism
Description: partial 16S ribosomal RNA
Rfam family: Bacterial small subunit ribosomal RNA
Source: RNAcentral